This 1679-nucleotide ribosomal RNA is filed under the name Klebsiella pneumoniae. RNAcentral describes it as "bacterial LSU rRNA". It matches the Rfam family "Bacterial large subunit ribosomal RNA", at positions 1267 to 2925 of the family's 2925-position model. Lineage: Bacteria; Pseudomonadati; Pseudomonadota; Gammaproteobacteria; Enterobacterales; Enterobacteriaceae. The record is from RNAcentral.
GGCAUGCUGGAGGUAUCAGAAGUGCGAAUGCUGACAUAAGUAACGAUAAAGCGGGUGAAAAGCCCGCUCGCCGGAAGACCAAGGGUUCCUGUCCAACGUUAAUCGGGGCAGGGUGAGUCGACCCCUAAGGCGAGGCCGAAAGGCGUAGUCGAUGGGAAACAGGUUAAUAUUCCUGUACUUGGUGUUACUGCGAAGGGGGGACGGAGAAGGCUAUGUUAGCCGGGCGACGGUUGUCCCGGUUUAAGCAUGUAGGCUGGUUAUCCAGGCAAAUCCGGAUAAUCAAGGCUGAGGUGUGAUGACGAGGCACUACGGUGCUGAAGUAACAAAUGCCCUGCUUCCAGGAAAAGCCUCUAAGCAUCAGGUAACAUCAAAUCGUACCCCAAACCGACACAGGUGGUCAGGUAGAGAAUACCAAGGCGCUUGAGAGAACUCGGGUGAAGGAACUAGGCAAAAUGGUGCCGUAACUUCGGGAGAAGGCACGCUGGUGUGUAGGUGAAGUCCCUGCGGAUGGAGCUGAGACCAGUCGAAGAUACCAGCUGGCUGCAACUGUUUAUUAAAAACACAGCACUGUGCAAACACGAAAGUGGACGUAUACGGUGUGACGCCUGCCCGGUGCCGGAAGGUUAAUUGAUGGGGUUAUCCGUAAGGAGAAGCUCUUGAUCGAAGCCCCGGUAAACGGCGGCCGUAACUAUAACGGUCCUAAGGUAGCGAAAUUCCUUGUCGGGUAAGUUCCGACCUGCACGAAUGGCGUAAUGAUGGCCAGGCUGUCUCCACCCGAGACUCAGUGAAAUUGAACUCGCUGUGAAGAUGCAGUGUACCCGCGGCAAGACGGAAAGACCCCGUGAACCUUUACUAUAGCUUGACACUGAACAUUGAGCCUUGAUGUGUAGGAUAGGUGGGAGGCUUUGAAGCGUGGACGCCAGUCUGCGUGGAGCCAACCUUGAAAUACCACCCUUUAAUGUUUGAUGUUCUAACGUUGGCCCCUGACCGGGGUUGCGGACAGUGUCUGGUGGGUAGUUUGACUGGGGCGGUCUCCUCCCAAAGCGUAACGGAGGAGCACGAAGGUUAGCUAAUCCUGGUCGGACAUCAGGAGGUUAGUGCAAUGGCAUAAGCUAGCUUGACUGCGAGCGUGACGGCGCGAGCAGGUGCGAAAGCAGGUCAUAGUGAUCCGGUGGUUCUGAAUGGAAGGGCCAUCGCUCAACGGAUAAAAGGUACUCCGGGGAUAACAGGCUGAUACCGCCCAAGAGUUCAUAUCGACGGCGGUGUUUGGCACCUCGAUGUCGGCUCAUCACAUCCUGGGGCUGAAGUAGGUCCCAAGGGUAUGGCUGUUCGCCAUUUAAAGUGGUACGCGAGCUGGGUUUAGAACGUCGUGAGACAGUUCGGUCCCUAUCUGCCGUGGGCGCUGGAGAAUUGAGGGGGGCUGCUCCUAGUACGAGAGGACCGGAGUGGACGCAUCACUGGUGUUCGGGUUGUCAUGCCAAUGGCACUGCCCGGUAGCUAAAUGCGGAAGAGAUAAGUGCUGAAAGCAUCUAAGCACGAAACUUGCCCCGAGAUGAGUUCUCCCUGAGACUAUAAGUCUCCUGAAGGAACGUUAAAGACGAUGACGUUGAUAGGCCGGGUGUGUAAGCGCAGCGAUGCGUUGAGCUAACCGGUACUAAUGAACCGUGAGGCUUAACCUU